UGCAGUCGAACGGUGACCUCGGAGCUUGCUCCGAGUGAUCAGUGGCGAACGGGUGAGUAACACGUGAGUAACCUGCCCCUGGCUCUGGGAUAACCCCGGGAAACCGAGGCUAAUACCGGAUACGACACAGACAGGCAUCUGUACUGUGUGGAAAGUUUUUCGGCUAGGGAUGGACUCGCGGCCUAUCAGCUUGUUGGUGGGGCAAUGGCCUACCAAGGCGACGACGGGUAGCCGGCCUGAGAGGGCGACCGGCCACACUGGGACUGAGACACGGCCCAGACUCCUACGGGAGGCAGCAGUGGGGAAUAUUGCGCAAUGGGCGAAAGCCUGACGCAGCGACGCCGCGUGAGGGAUGAAGGCCUUCGGGUUGUAAACCUCUUUCAGCAGGGAAGAAGCGCAAGUGACGGUACCUGCAGAAGAAGCACCGGCUAACUACGUGCCAGCAGCCGCGGUAAUACGUAGGGUGCAAGCGUUGUCCGGAAUUAUUGGGCGUAAAGAGCUCGUAGGCGGUCUGUCGCGUCUGGUGUGAAAAUCCAGGGCUUAACCCUGGACCUGCAUCGGGUACGGGCAGACUAGAGUGCGGUAGGGGAGAUCGGAAUUCCUGGUGUAGCGGUGAAAUGCGCAGAUAUCAGGAGGAACACCGGUGGCGAAGGCGGAUCUCUGGGCCGUAACUGACGCUGAGGAGCGAAAGCAUGGGGAGCGAACAGGAUUAGAUACCCUGGUAGUCCAUGCCGUAAACGUUGGGCGCUAGGUGUGGGGCUCAUUCCACGAGUUCCGUGCCGCAGCAAACGCAUUAAGCGCCCGCCUGGGGAGUACGGCCGCAAGGCUAAAACUCAAAGGAAUUGACGGG
This 850-nucleotide ribosomal RNA is filed under the name Oryzihumus sp. 746G152. Its description in RNAcentral is "bacterial SSU rRNA". It matches the Rfam family "Bacterial small subunit ribosomal RNA", at positions 56 to 917 of the family's 1533-position model. The record is from RNAcentral. Lineage: Bacteria; Bacillati; Actinomycetota; Actinomycetes; Micrococcales; Intrasporangiaceae.